RNAcentral lists this transfer RNA (76 nucleotides) under Deltaproteobacteria bacterium. RNAcentral describes it as "tRNA-Asp". It matches the Rfam family "tRNA". Rfam says of the family: Transfer RNA (tRNA) molecules are approximately 80 nucleotides in length. Their secondary structure includes four short double-helical elements and three loops (D, anti-codon, and T loops). The record is from RNAcentral. Lineage: Bacteria; Pseudomonadati; Myxococcota; Myxococcia.
GGGGGCAUAGUGUAGUGGUUAACACGCCUGCCUGUCACGCAGGAGACCGUGGGUUCAAGUCCCAUUGUCCCCGCCA